AAGAGCAAAAUAUCGUUUUUUGCUUUAUUGCUAUCAUGCUUCUUUGUCUUCUGGAGGUUUCUCUUUCCCUUUCUUAAGGAAAGAAACUUAAGGAGGUUUAUUGACCUACUUUGCACUGUCAAGGAACAUUGAAGAAAUGUCUAAUCAAGCCAAUUGAAACAACUGGUUCAUACACAUUAUUCAAAAUACGAACAAUGUUGUUUGUACAAUCUACGGUACUAAAUAAUGAAAUACUGAAUGUCAACCGUUUAAUAAAAAGAAUUUUAAAAUCUUACCACAAAGAA
This is a non-coding RNA of Pantherophis guttatus, 284 nucleotides long. NCBI's taxonomy places the organism in Eukaryota, Metazoa, Chordata, Lepidosauria, Squamata, Colubridae. The record is from RefSeq and is a predicted model, not a curated record.